GGUGGCUCAGUGGUAGAGUGCUUGCCUUGCAUGCAUGAUUCCCUGAGUUUGGUUCCUCAGCACCA
This 65-nucleotide transfer RNA is filed under the name Dipodomys ordii (Ord's kangaroo rat). It matches the Rfam family "tRNA". From Rfam's summary of the family: Transfer RNA (tRNA) molecules are approximately 80 nucleotides in length. The record is from Rfam by way of RNAcentral. Lineage: Eukaryota; Metazoa; Chordata; Mammalia; Rodentia; Heteromyidae.